CCUACGGGUGGCAGCAGUGAGGAAUAUUGGUCAAUGGGCGGAAGCCUGAACCAGCCACGUAGCGUGCAGGAUGACGGCCCUCCGGGUUGUAAACUGCUUUUAUACGGGAAUAACGCGCCUUACGUGUAGGGCUUUGCAUGUACCGUAUGAAUAAGGACCGGCUAAUUCCGUGCCAGCCGCCGGGGUAAUACGGUAGGGACGGGCGUUAUCCGGAUUUAUUGGGUUUAAAGGGAACGUAGGCCGCAUGUCAAGCGUUAUGUGAAGUGUCCGGGCUCAACCCGGGCCUUGCAGCGCGAACUGGCGUGCUUGAGUCCGCGGAAAGCAGGCGGAAUGCGUCGUGUAGCGGUGAAAUGCUUAGAUAUGACGAAGAACCCCGAUUGCGAAGGCAGCUUGCUGCAGCGUAACUGACGCUGAUGCUCGAAAGCGCGGGUAUCGAACAGGAUUAGAUACCCUGGUAGUC
RNAcentral lists this ribosomal RNA (460 nucleotides) under uncultured bacterium. RNAcentral's name for it is "partial 16S ribosomal RNA". It matches the Rfam family "Bacterial small subunit ribosomal RNA", at positions 338 to 795 of the family's 1533-position model. The record is from RNAcentral.